AAUCUUAAUGUUCAUAUACUUGGAUCUUUUAAGAUAUCAUGUCUUACUUAAGAUUGCAUAUUUUACUAUCACAUAAAGAGUUGAACAAUUACGGUCUCAAACUCAAAGAUAAUUUUGCAAUCAUAGUUAACUUUAUAAAAGCCUCAUAAAAUUGCCACAUACUCAGCCUCUGCAUUGGAUGUUUAAAGCAAUUACAACUCUAAGCUUUUCCAUAAUAAGGUAUCUCAUUUGAUGAGAUACACAUUGAUAAAUUUGUAAUGCGUAGAACUAUUAUAUCCAUUAAAAUCUGAGUUUUAAAAUCCAACCACCUGUGGGUGUGUUGAUUUCUUAUAUGUGAUCAAGUGAUAUUUUCUUCACUACAUAUCUCAAAAUUAUUUUCAGCUUUCUUUUCUUUAAAUUCUAUUUCAUUAUGCGGAUAUUGCUUAAGAUUUAAACUUAUCACCUUUUUGCAUAGGAACAAUACUAGAAGACGCAUUUUCAUGCCAUAUCUCUGAAGAAAUUUUUCAGUAUAU
Molecule: long non-coding RNA, 512 nt
Filed under: Brassica napus (rape)
Lineage: Eukaryota; Viridiplantae; Streptophyta; Magnoliopsida; Brassicales; Brassicaceae
Description: long non-coding RNA (BNAP_LNC013910)
Source: RNAcentral